Long non-coding RNA from Pomacea canaliculata, 591 nucleotides. RefSeq lists it as uncharacterized. NCBI's taxonomy places the organism in Eukaryota, Metazoa, Mollusca, Gastropoda, Architaenioglossa, Ampullariidae. The record is from RefSeq and is a predicted model, not a curated record. The transcript has 3 exons.
ACAACACGCCCGAGUAGUCUCACCAUUGCAGUCACCACUUUCACCUGAGGAAAGACAAGAGGCCGCGAGUUCUCACUCCACAAGACCAACAUGACAACAACACAUCAGUUAAUGGCCGCCGCCUUCUACCUGUGCGGGCUUUUGUUUCUUUACCACGUCGAUAGUGUGAACGGCUUGAAAUGCAAGGAUUGUGACUUUGAUAACCCUGACUGUAAUUCUGGCAACGUGCCAGAAUGUUGAGUGCGGACCCAACGAACUCUGCGGCGUUUUUAGACAGUUCACAAAAGGAGUACCGGACAGUGAUCAGACAUUACGUGGCUGCUCAGACAAAGAAGAAAAUUUCAACUGCACUGAAUAUCCGGAUUCUGAAAUCCAGUGUGUGCUCAUUUGCGCAACAGAAAACUGUAACAGCGCAUCCAAUCUUGGUGAAGAAUGAGAGAAGAACUGCCUUUACCUUGAUCAUUUUGUCAGAAUACGCCACAGACAUAAAAAACUAUGAGUUUAGUAUUUUUAUUUUAUAAUAGGAAAUUAGUCUUCAAUACAAUUUUAUCCAAAUAACGCAACAAAAUAAACCAUGUAAUCACACUUAAA